GACGAACGCUGGCGGCGUGCUUAACACAUGCAAGUCGAGCGGUAAGGCCCUUUCGGGGGUACACGAGCGGCGAACGGGUGAGUAACACGUGGGUGACCUGCCCUUAGCUCUGGGAUAAGCCUGGGAAACUGGGUCUAAUACCGGAUAUGACUCCAUGACGCAUGUUGUGGGGUGGAAAGCCUUGUGCGGCUAGGGAUGGGCCCGCGGCCUAUCAGCUUGUUGGNGGGGUGAUGGCCUACCAAGGCGACGACGGGUAGCCGGCCUGAGAGGGCGACCGGCCACACUGGGACUGAGACACGGCCCAGACUCCUACGGGAGGCAGCAGUGGGGAAUCUUGCGCAAUGGGCGAAAGCCUGACGCAGCGACGCCGCGUGAGGGAUGACGGCCU
This 388-nucleotide ribosomal RNA is filed under the name uncultured bacterium. Its description in RNAcentral is "bacterial SSU rRNA". It matches the Rfam family "Bacterial small subunit ribosomal RNA", at positions 28 to 417 of the family's 1533-position model. The record is from RNAcentral.